AAGUGUUUGGGGAACUCUAGG
This 21-nucleotide microRNA is filed under the name Brachypodium distachyon (stiff brome). RNAcentral's name for it is "bdi-miR395d-3p". Its record names the gene bdi-miR395d-3p. The record is from miRBase by way of RNAcentral. Lineage: Eukaryota; Viridiplantae; Streptophyta; Magnoliopsida; Poales; Poaceae.